Molecule: ribosomal RNA, 408 nt
Filed under: Lacerta trilineata
Lineage: Eukaryota; Metazoa; Chordata; Lepidosauria; Squamata; Lacertidae
Description: partial 16S ribosomal RNA
Rfam family: Bacterial large subunit ribosomal RNA
Source: RNAcentral
GGUCCCGCCUGCCCAGUGACUCUUUAAACGGCCGCGGUAUCCUAACCGUGCAAAGGUAGCAUAAUCACUUGUCCCCUAAAUCGGGACUAGAAUGAAUGGCUAAAUGAGGACUAAACUGUCUCUUACAGACUGGCCAAUGAAAUUGAUUUCCCAGUACAAAAGCUGGAAUAUACCCAUAAGACGAGAAGACCCUGUGGAGCUUCAAAACCAAACCACUUAGUAUGUCCCUUGGUUUUUUAGUUGGGGCGACUUCGGAAUACAAUAAAACUUCCAAAAUAAAACUAACUCAUUAAGGUUAACACACCAAAAUCUCCACACAGACCCAGCAAUUAAUUUGUCUGACCAAUGAACCAAGUUACCCCAGGGAUAACAGCGCAAUCUCCUUUUAGAGUCCAUAUCGACAAGGGG